RNAcentral lists this transfer RNA (85 nucleotides) under Felis catus (domestic cat). It matches the Rfam family "tRNA". Rfam says of the family: Transfer RNA (tRNA) molecules are approximately 80 nucleotides in length. Lineage: Eukaryota; Metazoa; Chordata; Mammalia; Carnivora; Felidae. The record is from Rfam by way of RNAcentral.
GCCUGGGUGGCUCAGUCAGUUGAGUGUCUGACUUUGGCUCAGGUCAUGGCCUCACCGUUCAUGAGUUCGAGCCCCACCUCGGGUU